AGCACCAAUAGCGUAUCUUAAUGUUGUUGCAGUUAAAAAGCUCGUAGUCGAAUUUCUGGCGGGGAUGUGUCGCAACUCGCAGACUUCAGCCCACGUCAUCCACCUGUGAGCAGGUUUCGUUCUUCACCGAUCGGGCCUAGGAGCAGGUACUUUACUUUGAAGAAAUUAGAGUGUUUCAGGCAAGCUUUCGCUUGAAUACACCAGCAUGGAAUAAUGGAAUAGGACUGCUAUCUUUUAUUGGUCAUUGAUGGUAGUAAUGAUUAAUAGGAACAGUUGGGGUCAUUAAUACUUGUAAGUCAGAGGUGAAAUUCUUCGAUUUUACAAAGAUUAACUAAUGCGAAGGCAUUUGACAAGGAUGUUUUCA
This 364-nucleotide ribosomal RNA is filed under the name uncultured eukaryote. RNAcentral's name for it is "SSU rRNA". It matches the Rfam family "Eukaryotic small subunit ribosomal RNA", at positions 587 to 972 of the family's 1831-position model. The record is from RNAcentral.